Molecule: long non-coding RNA, 3862 nt
Filed under: Sinocyclocheilus anshuiensis
Lineage: Eukaryota; Metazoa; Chordata; Actinopteri; Cypriniformes; Cyprinidae
Description: lncRNA (ENSSANG00000003839.1)
Source: RNAcentral
CUUUAGCUUUAAAUGUAUUCAGGUGAGUCUCAUCAGUGAUCACCAUUGUACUGAUCAACAAUAUUAGCAUUUCAGUGAGCCCACAUUAGUAGGCUAACUUUGAGCAGGUGUGGCACGAAAGCACAAGUGCGUUAGUCCUUAAAACAUGUCUCCUCAAUACUAUCUGAGACUGGCUUUGGUUGGUUUGACUCUUUCUGUUGUGGGAUGUUUGCCUGAUGCGUCAAUCGUGCCUUUAGGAAACAUCUCAGAUGAUUCAAAGAUCAAAAUGUUGGAAAAUUUCAGAAGUGUUAGUCCACCCAUUCAAAGUCCAGUAAGACUUCAAGGGAACGUAGAACAAUUUAACAGCAAAUAUCAGCUACCCAGGAUCAACUCAGCCUCAUACAGCCAGAGAAAUGAUGGCAAUGCAAAAAAUCCAAGCUUCAGCUCCACUGACAUAAGAGCUUCUGCAGAUGUUAUCUAUUACCAUUCAGUCCCAAAUAAAGUCCAGUCCAAUACAAAUCGCAGAAAUAAUCCUGUUGAAUUUUCAAGUGUCAAAUUUAAUGAUGGCAUUGAUGCCAAAAGAAGCUAUACUUUGCAAACAGUCCGACAGGAACAAAAUCCUUUAGACUUUAAAGGGAGCCAAAUGAGCUCUAGUGAUCCUAAUAUGGCCCCAAGGCUAGUGAGGAAAAAUGGUGGAAUGCAUGCAGCAAAUGUGUAUAGAUCUGGCUCAUUUGGAUAUCAACAUAUUUUGAAAUCAGAAAUGCCCUCAGAAAGUUCACGACCAUUACGACUCAAUGAACCCUAUUUGAGGGAAAAUAUUCCAACUAAUUAUAUGUCUAGAAGCUCAACUGUGAACCAAAUGAGGCACAAAAGUGAUGGAAACAUGCUGUUUGGUCAUUUACUUCAAAACCGCGGCCAGAAUCAAAAAGUGCUGAGGAAUACAUCUCCCUCAAUUGUAAGAGCAAAUCAAUUACCACAUGCUUUUUCUGCUGGGACUGGAGUAAUUUCUCAAAUUUCCUACGAGAAUACGAGGGAUGUAGCUCUUUCCAAGGUGUACAAACCUCCAACAAUCCCAACACCAGUAUCUCCUGGCUUUACGAGAUCAAAUUCAAAUAGAGGUCAUGGCAUCCUUCCGUUUAAAAAAUCUCUCAUGUUUUCUUUUCAACAUGAUCACGUCAAGCUGCCUAGUUCUGAAAGGGUUGCCAGUCCCAGUACAAAAUCAGCCACGAGCAGCUACACUUUCAAGGACAUUCACUUGACAUCUACACAAAAUGAUUACCAAAAUAGGGGACAAAGUAGUCAGAAUCUUGCGCCCAUUCAAACAUUUCCCAGUCAAAAGGAGUAUGGUAAUUUGGCUACAGGUAUAUCUGCCUUCAGGCCUUCAGUGACCAAUAAUGCCCGGUCUUCCUUUCUAUCAAAUGAGAACAGUGGCAUCCAGAUGUCUGCGCUACUCGACCGGUCAAAACAAAACACAGACUUGACCCCACAAAUGCAGUUUGCAAAGAACACCAUGUUACUUUCAGAAUGGGCUAAAAAUAUGAACCUACCAUACCCAACAAAUCAUUCAUUAAAGAAGCCAAAUCAGCAUAACAUCCGAAAUGGGACAGAUCUGAAUUCCUUCGGCCAAAGUGCAGUGCAAUCAUUAUUCUUUAAAAAUGAUCCUGCGCCAAGUCUCGUGCCUGGUAAAACAAUUGAGAGCGUCCACAGCGUUAGUCCGUCUGUGUCUGGCACUCAAGGCACAUCAGAAAAUUCAGACAUCUCUACAAAAAACAGAAAUGCACUCUGGCCAAAAACCUCUCUCAAACUCUGUGCAAUAUGCCCCUGCUCGUCCACAUACCACCUUAAGUGCACUCGCUCAAAAGCCCUUGAUACGUGAGAGCUACCAGAAAAUGCUUUUUCAGUUCAAGGACAUUGAAACAAGCCAAGAAAAACAAAUUUAUCUGGAUCAGACAGAUUCUUUUGAUAAUGGACCUCCGCAUGAAACCGUCUCUUCUACUGUAGGUGCAAGUAACCCGAUGUCUAAUGCUCCAAAGCACCAUGUUGUUAAAGGUCAAGCUGUAGUGAUGAAAACAUCUCUGAGCGGCACGAAUACUUCAGCAAGUCUUACAAAUAAUGGAGCUGUUUUCCUUCAGAACCACCCUAAAAUAGGGUACGGUGGGUUGACGGUUGAUGAAGUUCAGUCAAAAACAUCUCAGAGGUGGACUUCAAGUAGGCUUGCUUCAGCCCAGCACACUGAAUCUAACCAAGGCGAAAUUCCAGCAGUGAGAUCCUCAAACACCAGUUUUGUUGGACCCAACUCAUACGACGCAUCCAUAAAAUCUAGAAACAGUCAUGAGAAUCCCACAUCUGAGCUUAAGUCUUCUCUUAUGAACAAAGUGACUGGCUAUCCUCAAAUACACAAUGCUGUUAUCCAGCCACUUCGCAGGUAUAGCUUGAAGGAACAUGAAGGUCUGUUGAAUCCAACGAAGGAAGUUAAAGACGGAAACACUGCUGGAAUAACACAAUCAAAUGUUACUGAAUAUUACAGUCCCAUAAGAUUGAGACCGACAAGCAGCACUGUGAUUAGUAGGUGGGUCGAAGUGACUCAAGAAGGAAAGGGAUCUGAAGAAAAUACAAACCACCAGAAUGUGGUCCCAACCUACCAAUCUGCAAUAUAUAGGUCUGCUGACAUUAAUAGUCAUAAAACUAAUAGCUCUGCAGGGCUCACUUACCAGUCACCUAUAUACAGAUCUGCUAUAAAAACUUCUGGCAAAGCUAACGUCAUACAAGCCCAGGGAUCAAGACCCACAAGCAGCUUUGUAGUCGGAAGGUACAUUAAUACAUUUGAUAAAACCUCAACCAAAUCAAACCUCAACUUAUCUUCUACAAAAACAGGCCUAAACGAUUAUAAACCAGUUCAGUUUUCAGAUAUAGCUGGUAGCGCCUCCUUCACUAACGCAGCUGACACCACGGCAAAGAAAGAAGUGGAUCCUGAAAGUAAGCAAAACAGCUCCAAUUCAACAUCAGUGAUGGAGGAAAGUUUUAAAGAGCUGCUUUUUGACAACUCCAUGAUCUCAGCCUUACAAAAUGAAACCGAUGAAAGUACAGUGGAUUUAAGUUUCCCUGAUAUUAUGCCAACUGCUGCUAUAGACUUCACCACAGAAUCUCAGCUGCCAUUUCCAGAAGAAUAUACUCUACCUCAACCAACUGUCUAUUCCUCUGAGUCACAGCUGGAUCUUGGGAGUCUUACUACACCUACAGCAGAGGGUACCGAUCCACUUUUUGAGGGAACGUUGAUACUCAAUACAACUUUGCUGGUCAAACUGACAUCAGAUUGAGAUCUGCCUCUUCAAGUUUUCUACUGUAUGUACUCCAAUGGCAACCGUCAUUAACACCAACAGACUAAAAUGUGAAGUGUUUUUCUCUUCUGUGUUUAGAUGGCACCAGAUCUGUCGUCACAUUCACUUGCAUUAAAUUUGUGAGUUCGGAGUUUUGUAGUUUGUGCUUUACUUCCCCUUGGUAAUCCUUAUUUUGGAAGAAAAAAUAUGGAUAGUAUUAACAGUAUUUUUUCCCUCCCCAAGCAUAACAAUAUAACAAAUUUUAAUACAGUAAACAUUGCAUCCAUAAGUUUUUGUCAAAGAGGCUUUAUGUAAUUUUACAUAAAUCGUGAAAGUAGUUUCCUGAUGUAGGGAUGGGCUCACACACACUUUCUAUUUCCUUCUUCUUGCUGACCCCCACCCCAACAGUUUAGUCUCCAAAGCCCAUGGAUCAGAAUUCAGUUUGCUAGAAAUUGUUUUUUUCUGAGUGCUACUGACAAACUAUUACUUUAAUUGUACAGGCCAAUGAAAAGCUUUCUAAAACGUAAUCACGUGUUGGACUUUAUUUUUAUUUAUUUAUUUUUCUC